GACGAAGGGGGCUAGCGUUGUUCGGAAUUACUGGGCGUAAAGCGCGUGUAGGCGGUUGUUCAAGUCGGGUGUGAAAGCCUUGAGCUCAACUCAAGAAAUGCACUCGAUACUGGAUGACUAGAGGACCGGAGAGGAUAGUGGAAUUCCCAGUGUAGUGGUGAAAUACGUAGAGAUUGGGAAGAACACCAGUGGCGAAGGCGGCUCACUGGCCCGGUACUGACGCUGAGGCGCGAAAGCGUGGGGAGCAAACAGG
This 253-nucleotide ribosomal RNA is filed under the name uncultured bacterium. Its description in RNAcentral is "partial 16S ribosomal RNA". It matches the Rfam family "Bacterial small subunit ribosomal RNA", at positions 524 to 776 of the family's 1533-position model. The record is from RNAcentral.